RNAcentral lists this long non-coding RNA (796 nucleotides) under Homo sapiens (human). RNAcentral's name for it is "HSALNT0070078". The record is from RNAcentral. Lineage: Eukaryota; Metazoa; Chordata; Mammalia; Primates; Hominidae.
GUUCCCCUGCACAUGCUCUCUUGCCUGCUGUCAUGCAACGUGUCUUUGCUCCUCCUUCACCUUCCGCCAUGAUUGUGAGGCUUCCCCAGCCAUGUGGAAACAUAUUCGCAGAGCACCCACUAGGUGCCAGUAAAUGUAUGAGAAGUCCUGUGGAAUAAGACUGAAGUUGUCCUUGCCUUCAAGCAACUUGCAAUUGCCUAAGAACACAGUUUAAAACCACAAAACUAAGCCUUGGAAAUCACAUGCUGUCAUUUCUGCGAUCGGUCAUAACCAGUCCUGAUUCCAUGUUAGAGGAGACUACAUAAGGACACAGGUACCAGAAGAUGAAAAAUUUGGAGUCUAGUGAAAAGAAGUGACUUGCUCAAAAUCACACAGCACAUGAAGAACAGAGCCUCUAUGAUGAAUUUCUUGACAGGAUCCCAUUGAGGAUGCCACAUUAUGUUUCAUUGCCAUGUCUCCAUAGACUCUUCUUGGUUGUGAUGGUUUCUCACGCUUUUCUUGGUUUUGAAGACGUUGACAAUUUUCUUCCAUUGGGAUUUGCUUGAUGCUUUUCUCAUGAUUACACUGGAACUGUGACUUUUUAGAAGGAAGAUCAUAGAGGAGAAGAAACUGAGGUUCAAGGACUAGUAACCAGCAGCAGAUCACACAGCUGGAAGACAACUAAGAGCAAAAAAACUCACAACAGAUGGAGGACUCAAUGCUUAUGUUGGAGAAGGAAGCUACAUUGUCCCUGAGUUCAUGGAAAUGUCAAGUCUAGAAGAUGGAAAAGUUCAGUUAAUAUCUCCAGAGACCCACA